GAUCCACACUAAUAGGUCAAUACUUUUUGCAAGUCAAAGCAGCAAACAAAUCUUUCCCAACUUUCGUAAUCCUCGUUAAUUUCAACAAAAUUCCUGAGAAAUGAAUAAGGUUGCUGGAAUCUUUGUGGCAGUGAUGCUGGUGAUGUUGAUUGGAGACUUAAGCGCCGUUCCGGUAGAUGUUCUGAGCGCUGUGGGGUCGGCAGCAGAGAGUGAAAUGAUGGCGGAUGCGGAAGCCAUCCCACGCUUCCGCCGGUCAGGAGGAAAUUCUCGUAAUCGUCGAAGCCCCUGCACUAACGGUAGUGGCAAAUGCUGAUUCUUUCGCCAAUUAAAUAACGAUUCUGUACCACCACUCCCACAACCCUGACUUGACACAGCUAGCACAAUAUCAAUUAAUUAAACUCAACUACAUAGAUGCCAAAUGGGGUCUACAUUUGACUGGCGGAGGUUUUCCUUCCUUUUUAUGGCAAGGUUUUCCCUCUGUCCAUCUAAAUUUCCAAAAUAUAAAACCACCCGAAUUUGUUAAAAAUCUCUGGUCUUAACAGACA
This is a long non-coding RNA of Folsomia candida, 545 nucleotides long. RefSeq lists it as uncharacterized. The transcript has 3 exons. The record is from RefSeq and is a predicted model, not a curated record. NCBI's taxonomy places the organism in Eukaryota, Metazoa, Arthropoda, Collembola, Entomobryomorpha, Isotomidae.